GACGAACCCUGGCGGCGUGCUUAACACAUGCAAGUCGAACGGAAAGGCCCUGCUUUUGUGGGGUGCUCGAGUGGCGAGCGGGUGAGUAACACGUGAGUAACCUGCCCUUGACUUUGGGAUAACUUCAGGAAACUGGGGCUAAUACCGGAUAGGAGCUCCUGCUGCAUGGUGGGGGUUGGAAAGUUUCGGCGGUUGGGGAUGGACUCGCGGCUUAUCAGCUUGUUGGUGGGGUAGUGGCUUACCAAGGCUUUGACGGGUAGCCGGCCUGAGAGGGUGACCGGCCACAUUGGGACUGAGAUACGGCCCAGACUCCUACGGGAGGCAGCAGUGGGGAAUAUUGCACAAUGGGCGGAAGCCUGAUGCAGCAACGCCGCGUGCGGGAUGACGGCCUUCGGGUUGUAAACCGCUUUCGCCUGUGACGAAGCGUGAGUGACGGUAAUGGGUAAAGAAGCACCGGCUAACUACGUGCCAGCAGCCGCGGUGAUACGUAGGGUGCGAGCGUUGUCCGGAUUUAUUGGGCGUAAAGGGCUCGUAGGUGGUUGAUCGCGUCGGAAGUGUAAUCUUGGGGCUUAACCCUGAGCGUGCUUUCGAUACGGGUUGACUUGAGGAAGGUAGGGGAGAAUGGAAUUCCUGGUGGAGCGGUGGAAUGCGCAGAUAUCAGGAGGAACACCAGUGGCGAAGGCGGUUCUCUGGGCCUCUCCUGACGCUGAGGAGCGAAAGCGUGGGGAGCGAACAGGCUUAGAUACCCUGGUAGUCCACGCUGUAAACGGUGGGUACUAGGUGUGGGGUCCAUUCCACGGGUUCCGUGCCGUAGCUAACGCUUUAAGUACCCCGCCUGGGGAGUACGGCCGCAAGGCUAAAACUCAAAGGAAUUGACGGGGCCCCGCACAAGCGGCGGAGCAUGCGGAUUAAUUCGAUGCAACGCGUAGAACCUUACCUGGGUUUGACAUGGAUCGGGAGUGCUCAGAGAUGGGUGUGCCUCUUUUGGGGUCGGUUCACAGGUGGUGCAUGCCUGUCGUCAGCUCGUGUCGUGAGAUGUUGGGUUAAGUCCCGCAACGAGCGCAACCCUUGUUCACUGUUGCCAGCACGUUAUGGUGGGGACUCAGUGGAGACCGCCGGGGUCAACUCGGAGGAAGGUGGGGAUGACGUCAAGUCCUCAUGCCCCUUAUGUCCAGGGCUUCACGCAUGCUACAAUGGCUGGUACAGAGAGUGGCGAGCCUGUGAGGGUGAGCGAAUCUCGGAAAGCCGGUCUCAGUUCGGAUUGGGGUCUGCAACUCGACCUCAUGAAGUCGGAGUCGCUAGUAAUCGCAAAGCAGCAACGCUGCGGUGAAUACGUUCCCGGG
RNAcentral lists this ribosomal RNA (1343 nucleotides) under uncultured bacterium. Its description in RNAcentral is "16S ribosomal RNA". It matches the Rfam family "Bacterial small subunit ribosomal RNA", at positions 28 to 1378 of the family's 1533-position model. The record is from RNAcentral.